UGAUCAUGGCUCAGAUUGAACGCUGGCGGCAGGCCUAACACAUGCAAGUCGAACGGUAACACAGAGAGCUUGCUCUCGGGUGACGAGUGGCGGACGGGUGAGUAAUGUCUGGGAAACUGCCUGAUGGAGGGGGAUAACUACUGGAAACGGUGGCUAAUACCGCAUAACGUCGCAAGACCAAAGAGGGGGACCUUCGGGCCUCUUGCCAUCAGAUGUGCCCAGAUGGGAUUAGCUUGUUGGUGAGGUAACGGCUCACCAAGGCGACGAUCCCUAGCUGGUCUGAGAGGAUGACCAGCCACACUGGAACUGAGACACGGUCCAGACUCCUACGGGAGGCAGCAGUGGGGAAUAUUGCACAAUGGGCGCAAGCCUGAUGCAGCCAUGCCGCGUGUAUGAAGAAGGCCUUCGGGUUGUAAAGUACUUUCAGCGGGGAGGAAGGUGUUGUGGUUAAUAACCGCAGCAAUUGACGUUACCCGCAGAAGAAGCACCGGCUAACUCCGUGCCAGCAGCCGCGGUAAUACGGAGGGUGCAAGCGUUAAUCGGAAUUACUGGGCGUAAAGCGCACGCAGGCGGUCUGUCAAGUCGGAUGUGAAAUCCCCGGGCUCAACCUGGGAACUGCAUUCGAAACUGGCAGGCUUGAGUCUUGUAGAGGGGGGUAGAAUUCCAGGUGUAGCGGUGAAAUGCGUAGAGAUCUGGAGGAAUACCGGUGGCGAAGGCGGCCCCCUGGACAAAGACUGACGCUCAGGUGCGAAAGCGUGGGGAGCAAACAGGAUUAGAUACCCUGGUAGUCCACGCCGUAAACGAUGUCUACUUGGAGGUUGUGCCCUUGAGGCGUGGCUUCCGGAGCUAACGCGUUAAGUAGACCGCCUGGGGAGUACGGCCGCAAGGUUAAAACUCAAAUGAAUUGACGGGGGCCCGCACAAGCGGUGGAGCAUGUGGUUUAAUUCGAUGCAACGCGAAGAACCUUACCUGGUCUUGACAUCCACAGAACUUUCCAGAGAUGGACUGGUGCCUUCGGGAACUGUGAGACAGGUGCUGCAUGGCUGUCGUCAGCUCGUGUUGUGAAAUGUUGGGUUAAGUCCCGCAACGAGCGCAACCCUUAUCCUUUGUUGCCAGCGAUUAGGUCGGGAACUCAAAGGAGACUGCCAGUGAUAAACUGGAGGAAGGUGGGGAUGACGUCAAGUCAUCAUGGCCCUUACGACCAGGGCUACACACGUGCUACAAUGGCGCAUACAAAGAGAAGCGACCUCGCGAGAGCAAGCGGACCUCAUAAAGUGCGUCGUAGUCCGGAUUGGAGUCUGCAACUCGACUCCAUGAAGUCGGAAUCGCUAGUAAUCGUGGAUCAGAAUGCCACGGUGAAUACGUUCCCGGGCCUUGUACACACCGCCCGUCACACCAUGGGAGUGGGUUGCAAAAGAAGUAGGUAGCUUAACCUUCGGGAGGGCGCUUACCACUUUGUGAUUCAUGACUGGGGUGAAGUCGUAACAAGGUAACCGUAGGGGAACCUGC
This 1509-nucleotide ribosomal RNA is filed under the name Salmonella enterica subsp. enterica serovar Kedougou. RNAcentral's name for it is "bacterial SSU rRNA". It matches the Rfam family "Bacterial small subunit ribosomal RNA". Lineage: Bacteria; Pseudomonadati; Pseudomonadota; Gammaproteobacteria; Enterobacterales; Enterobacteriaceae. The record is from RNAcentral.